GAUGAACGCUGGCGGCGUGCCUAAUACAUGCAAGUCGAGCGAACGUACGAGAGGCUUGCUUUUCUGAUGUUAGCGGCGGACGGGUGAGUAACAAGUCGAUAACCUACCUAUAAGACUGGGAUAACUUCGGGAAACCGGAGCUAAUACCUGAUCAUAUUUUGAACCGCAUGGUUCAAAAGUGAAAGACGGUCUUGCUGUCACUUAUAGAUGGAUCCGCGCUGCAUUAGCUAGUUGGUAAGGUAACGGCUUACCAAGGCAACGAUGCAUAGCCGACCUGAGAGGGUGAUCGGCCACACUGGAACUGAGACACGGUCCAGACUCCUACGGGAGGCAGCAGUAGGGAAUCUUCCGCAAUGGGCGAAAGCCUGACGGAGCAACGCCGCGUGAGUGAUGAAGGUCUUCGGAUCGUAAAACUCUGUUAUUAGGGAAGAACAUAUGUGUAAGUAACUGUGCACAUCUUGACGGUACCUAAUCAGAAAGCCACGGCUAACUACGUG
This 497-nucleotide ribosomal RNA is filed under the name uncultured bacterium. RNAcentral's name for it is "partial 16S ribosomal RNA". It matches the Rfam family "Bacterial small subunit ribosomal RNA", at positions 28 to 507 of the family's 1533-position model. The record is from RNAcentral.